RNAcentral lists this ribosomal RNA (303 nucleotides) under uncultured bacterium. RNAcentral describes it as "partial 16S ribosomal RNA". It matches the Rfam family "Bacterial small subunit ribosomal RNA", at positions 507 to 808 of the family's 1533-position model. The record is from RNAcentral.
AGCAGUCGCCGCGGUAAUACGAGGGGUGCAAGCGUUAUUCGGAUUGAUUGGGUGUAAAGGGUGUGCAGACGGCUUAUUAAGUCACUUGUUAAAUUCUUCGGCCUAACUGAAGGUCUGCAAGUGAUACUGAUGAGCUAGAGGGUGGAAGAGAGAAGUGGAAUUCUCGGAGUAGCGGUAAAAUGCGUAGAUCUCGAGAGGAACACCAAUGGCGAAGGCAGCUUCUUGGUCCAUUCCUGACGUUCAUACACGAAAGCGUGGGGAGCAAACAGGAUUAGAUACCCCAGAGUCCCUGUCUCUUAUACC